Pelobates cultripes (western spadefoot toad) is the source of this 415-nucleotide non-coding RNA. NCBI's taxonomy places the organism in Eukaryota, Metazoa, Chordata, Amphibia, Anura, Pelobatidae. The record is from the annotation of a GenBank genome assembly.
CCACUCUCAUAGAAAGUGUAGUGGGCUUAUGGUAUUAAAGUAACAAUCAUACCAGGCACACAGAUCCCAUGUGAAAUAACUUACAAUAAAACAGAGUAAUACGCUUAUACUUCUAUGUGACAUAAAGAAUAAAGCAAAAAGAGUUUAACUAUUUCAUAUCCUUACAGUCAGCACUAAUGAUUAUAAACCUUAUCUAAGCAUAAAAUACAUAUGAACAAGAAAAGUUAACUACUUCAUAUUCUUGCAUGGUAAUUUCCCAUUUCUAGGACAAAUCUUUCAAACACUUAUUCACACUCACAACCAGACUUAACUAAUGACAAUUAGAGGGUGGACAAGGUGAACCUGAAACUCUGUGCACACUAUCGUAGUAUAUUCACUUAUAUACUAAAUUCUCUGUCUAUAUCACUUUAUAGAC